CACACACACACACACACACACACACACACACACACACACACAGAGAACACCAUGUGAAGAUGAAGGCAGAGGCAGAGAUGGGGAUAUUAAUGCUGAGAAAAAACUAACUUUAGUGCAACACACAGAAACAGCAUCAACUAUAAAGUUCUGGACAAAGAAAAAUGUAAUUUCUCCCACACCGAAGCCUUGGUUCCACUCAGGAUUGGGCAUCAUCAUAGACUUACCUCCUUGGAAGAGGAGAAGAGCUACUUAGUAACUCUCUUGAGAAAAAUCUCAGAUACCCUAAUCUGUUUUACGAGUCACACUUGCUGUACCUGCCAUGGUUUGAACAUAUCUCAAGUAGAUAUGAUUUUGGAACGGAAUUUCAAAAACUCAGCUUUCCAAUAGAGCUUCCCAUCACAUUUUAUAGGAGUAAAAUGUGGCCACCAAACCUCAACUCAUUAUCCAGGGA
Molecule: long non-coding RNA, 451 nt
Filed under: Homo sapiens (human)
Lineage: Eukaryota; Metazoa; Chordata; Mammalia; Primates; Hominidae
Description: HSALNT0342838
Source: RNAcentral